CCCCCCAACCUUUUUCUUUUCUUCUCUCUCUUCUCUUUCCCCCUCUCUCGGCCGAAGCCCCCAUCCCUUCUUCUCUUCUUCUUCUUCUUCUCCACCACCCCUCGCCGCUUCACCCACCACCGCCCCUCGCCGCUUCACCCACCACCACACCGCCGCCCCCACGCCCUACUCACCACCAUCUCUUGGCCACUGAACCACCACCACCCACCGCUCGUCCGAUGAGCCAUCUCGCCGUUGAGCCCGACGAGCUAUCGCGCCGCCCCUCGCCGCCGUGAGCGAGGGCACGGCUCUCGAGCCCCUCGCCUCUGGCGGCAGCGGAGGACGGAGCGCUCGGGGUUAAGGCCGCGAGGGGGCUCGGGUUCAGGCGCC
This 369-nucleotide long non-coding RNA is filed under the name Eucalyptus grandis. RNAcentral describes it as "long non-coding RNA (EGRA_LNC006399)". Lineage: Eukaryota; Viridiplantae; Streptophyta; Magnoliopsida; Myrtales; Myrtaceae. The record is from RNAcentral.